CUGAGGGAUAGCCCAUAGAAAUGUGGAUUAAUACCUCAUAGUUCUUUUGUUCCGCAUGGGAUGAAAGAUAAAGCUCCGGCGGUUAUAGAUGGGCAUGCGUGACAUUAGCUAGUUGGUAAGGUAACGGCUUACCAAGGCUACGAUGUCUAGGGGUUCUGAGAGGAUGAUCCCCCACACUGGUACUGAGACACGGACCAGACUCCUACGGGAGGCAGCAGUGAGGAAUAUUGGUCAAUGGGCGCAAGCCUGAACCAGCCAUCCCGCGUGCAGGAUGAAGGCCCUAUGGGUC
This 289-nucleotide ribosomal RNA is filed under the name uncultured bacterium. RNAcentral describes it as "partial 16S ribosomal RNA". It matches the Rfam family "Bacterial small subunit ribosomal RNA", at positions 136 to 424 of the family's 1533-position model. The record is from RNAcentral.